Molecule: transfer RNA, 85 nt
Filed under: Puccinia coronata f. sp. avenae
Lineage: Eukaryota; Fungi; Basidiomycota; Pucciniomycetes; Pucciniales; Pucciniaceae
Rfam family: tRNA
About the family: Transfer RNA (tRNA) molecules are approximately 80 nucleotides in length. Their secondary structure includes four short double-helical elements and three loops (D, anti-codon, and T loops).
Source: Rfam by way of RNAcentral
GGCACUGUAGCUCAGUUGGUAGAGCACAUGCUUAACAAGCACAUUGAUUCGCAUGUUGUCGUCGGUUCGAGCCCGGCCAGAGUCA